GACAGAGGUGCCGAGCGUUAGGCGGAAUCACUGGGCUUAAAGCGUGUGUAGGCGGGCGGGCAAGUACCUUGUGAAAUCCCACGGCUCAACCGUGGAACUGCUGGGUAUACUGCCUGUCUUGAGCCAGCCAGGGGCAGUCGGAACAGACGGUGGAGCGGUGAAAUGCGUAGAUAUCGUCUGGAACGCCAAAGGUGAAAACAGACUGCUGGGGCUGUGCUGACGCUGAGACACGAAAGCCAGGGGAGCGAAUGGG
This 253-nucleotide ribosomal RNA is filed under the name uncultured bacterium. RNAcentral's name for it is "partial 16S ribosomal RNA". It matches the Rfam family "Bacterial small subunit ribosomal RNA", at positions 524 to 776 of the family's 1533-position model. The record is from RNAcentral.